AGUGAACGCUGGCGGUAGGCCUAACACAUGCAAGUCGAACGGCAGCACAGUAAGAGCUUGCUCUUACGGGUGGCGAGUGGCGGACGGGUGAGGAAUACAUCGGAAUCUACUUUUUCGUGGGGGAUAACGUAGGGAAACUUACGCUAAUACCGCAUACGACCUACGGGUGAAAGCAGGGGAUCUUCGGACCUUGCGCGAUUGAAUGAGCCGAUGUCGGAUUAGCUAGUUGGCGGGGUAAAGGCCCACCAAGGCGACGAUCCGUAGCUGGUCUGAGAGGAUGGCGGGCACACUGGGAGAGGAGCACCGUCCAGACUCCUGCGGGGGGCAGGCGGGGGGAAUUUUGGAAAAGGGGCGGAAGGCUUGUCCCACCAUUCCGGGGGGGGGAAAGAAGCCUUGGGGUUGGAAAACCCUUUUUUUGGGAAAAAAAAACAAGGAGUUAAAUACCCCGGUUUUUGACGGUAACCAAAAAAAAAAGCCCCGCUAACUUUGGU
This 491-nucleotide ribosomal RNA is filed under the name uncultured bacterium. Its description in RNAcentral is "partial 16S ribosomal RNA". It matches the Rfam family "Bacterial small subunit ribosomal RNA", at positions 29 to 507 of the family's 1533-position model. The record is from RNAcentral.